RNAcentral lists this ribosomal RNA (483 nucleotides) under uncultured bacterium. RNAcentral describes it as "bacterial SSU rRNA". It matches the Rfam family "Bacterial small subunit ribosomal RNA", at positions 9 to 524 of the family's 1533-position model. The record is from RNAcentral.
GAGUUUGAUCGUGGCUCAGAAUCAACGCUGGCGGCGUGCCUAACACAUGCAAGUCGAACGAGAAAGUGGAGCAAUCCACGAGUAAAGUGGCGCACGGGUGAGUAACACGUGACUAACCUACCCUUGAGUGGGGGAUGACCUAGAGAAAUCUGGGCUAAUACCGCAUAAUACCUUCGGGUCAAAGGAGCAAUUCGCUUAAGGAGGGGGUCGCGGCCGAUUAGUUAGUUGGCGGGGUAAUGGCCCACCAAGACUAUGAUCGGUAUCCGGCCUGAGAGGGCGCACGGACACACUGGAACUGAAACACGGUCCAGACUCCUACGGGAGGCAGCAGUGGGGAAUUUUGCGCAAUGGGGGAAACCCUGACGCAGCAACGCCGCGUGGAGGAUGAAGUCCCUUGGGACGUAAACUCCUUUCGAUCGGGACGAUAAUGACGGUACCGAGAGAAGAAGCCCCGGCUAACUUCGUGCCAGCAGCCGCGGUAAU